This 497-nucleotide ribosomal RNA is filed under the name uncultured bacterium. Its description in RNAcentral is "partial 16S ribosomal RNA". It matches the Rfam family "Bacterial small subunit ribosomal RNA", at positions 28 to 507 of the family's 1533-position model. The record is from RNAcentral.
GACGAACGCUGGCGGCGUGCCUAAUACAUGCAAGUUGAGCGCUGAAGGUUGGUACUUGUACCAACUGGAUGAGCAGCGAACGGGUGAGUAACGCGUGGGGAAUCUGCCUUUGAGCGGGGGACAACAUUUGGAAACGAAUGCUAAUACCGCAUAAAAACUUUAAACACAAGUUUUAAGUUUGAAAGAUGCAAUUGCAUCACUCAAAGAUGAUCCCGCGUUGUAUUAGCUAGUUGGUGAGGUAAAGGCUCACCAAGGCGAUGAUACAUAGCCGACCUGAGAGGGUGAUCGGCCACAUUGGGACUGAGACACGGCCCAAACUCCUACGGGAGGCAGCAGUAGGGAAUCUUCGGCAAUAGACGAAAGUCUGACCGAGCAACGCCGCGUAAGUGAAGAAGGUUUUCGGAUCGUAAAACUCUGUUGGUAGAGAAGAACGUUGGUGAGAGUGGAAAGCUCAUCAAGUGACGGUAACUACCCAGAAAGGGACGGCUAACUACGUG